GACGAACGCUGGCGGCGUGCUUAACACAUGCAAGUCGAACGGAAAGGCCCUGCUUUUGUGGGGUGCUCGAUUGGCGAACGGGUGAGUAACACGUGAGUAACCUGCCCUUGACUUUGGGAUAACUUCAGGAAACUGGGGCUAAUACCGGAUAGGAGCUCCUGCUGCAUGGUGGGGGUUGGAAAGUUUCGGCGGUUGGGGAUGGUCUCGCGGCUUAUCAGCUUGUUGGUGAGGUAGUGGCUUACCAAGGCUUUGACGGGUAGCCGGCCUGAGAGGGUGACCGGCCACAUUGGGACUGAGAUACGGCCCAGACUCCUACGGGAGGCAGCAGGGGGGAAUAUUGCACAAUGGGCGGAAGCCUGAUGCAGCAACGCCGCGUGCGGGAUGACGGCCUUCGGGUUGUAAACCGCUUUCGCCUGUGACGAAGCGUGAGUGACGGUAAUGGGUAAAGAAGCACCGGCUAACUACGUG
Molecule: ribosomal RNA, 468 nt
Filed under: uncultured bacterium
Lineage: Bacteria
Description: partial 16S ribosomal RNA
Rfam family: Bacterial small subunit ribosomal RNA
Source: RNAcentral